GCAGCGUUCCAACAGGAGAUGACGAGACCUGAAAGAACUCACGGAGGAAACGAAGACCCGCCGUGGAGCAGCUUGAGACAGCAGCCAUUCCCCGAGGUGAGCCCUGAGGAACUCAGGGUGUGAAAACAAAGGAUACCAGCCCUUGAUGGUAGCUGAGGUGCGGGUGCAUAUCAAGGAAUGAUUUCAUGCCAAUGACAUUCCAAUUUGACCAUGGAGGGACAAGAAAACUCCCCUGCCUACACGGAGGAAGAAAUGAUGAUGGAAGCAUGAUAUAAUCUACCCAAAAGGUCAUCUGUGGACUAGCAGUAUCACCAUCAACUGAGAGCUAGUUGGAAAUGCAAGGUCUCAGGCCCCAUCCAGGCCUGCAGAAUCAGAUCUGCCUUCUAACACCAUCUCUGGGUGAUUUAUGUAAAAAACCUCCCCCCUCCAACAAAUGGAAGAUAUUAAUUACUUGAUGACCAGGAGUACAUAGCCCCAGGCCUUCUGGAGCCCAAGGAAUGAUAAUGUUAACCUCUGUGACACCACCUGGGACCUCACCGUCAGCCAGGCACAGGAGAACUGAACU
This is a non-coding RNA of Odocoileus virginianus texanus, 565 nucleotides long. The record is from RefSeq and is a predicted model, not a curated record. Lineage: Eukaryota; Metazoa; Chordata; Mammalia; Artiodactyla; Cervidae.